RNAcentral lists this ribosomal RNA (263 nucleotides) under uncultured bacterium. RNAcentral's name for it is "partial 16S ribosomal RNA". It matches the Rfam family "Bacterial small subunit ribosomal RNA", at positions 524 to 776 of the family's 1533-position model. The record is from RNAcentral.
AACAGAGGGGGCAAGCGUUGUUCAUGAUGACUGGGCGUAAAGGGUGCGUAGGUGGACACUAUUAUUAAAGCUUUUGAGGAAUGCUUGCGUAUUGACGCAAACCUACUUUUGCAAUAUUUGUCUAAGAGAUUUGGAGAGGUUAGUGGAAGGCAACGUUGAAUAGAAACAGUGUUUUUCAACAUGUUGAGUACCGCCGAAUGACAAAGGUAACUAACCGGCCUUAAUCUGACGCUGAGGCAACGAAACUUAGGUUCGCGAGAUGG